This 429-nucleotide ribosomal RNA is filed under the name Bacillota bacterium. RNAcentral describes it as "Firmicutes bacterium partial 16S ribosomal RNA". It matches the Rfam family "Bacterial small subunit ribosomal RNA", at positions 355 to 776 of the family's 1533-position model. The record is from RNAcentral. Lineage: Bacteria; Bacillati; Bacillota.
UAGGGAAUCUUCGGCAAUGGACGGAAGUCUGACCGAGCAACGCCGCGUGAGUGAAGAAGGUUUUCGGAUCGUAAAGCUCUGUUGUUAUAGAAGAACGUUGGUAGGAGCGGAAAAUCUACCAAGUGACGGUAACUAACCAGAAAGGGACGGCUAACUACGUGCCAGCAGCCGCGGCAAUACGUAGGUCCCGAGCGUUGUCCGGAUUUAUUGGGCGUAAAGCGAGCGCAGGCGGUUCUUUAAGUCUGAAGUUAAAGGCAGUGGCUUAACCAUUGUACGCUUUGGAAACUGGAGGACUUGGGUGCAGAAGGGGAGAGUGGAAUUCCAUGUGUAGCGGUGAAAUGCGUAGAUAUAUGGAGGAACACCGGUGGCAAAAGCGGCUCUCUGGUCUGUAACUGACGCUGAGGCUCGAAAGCGUGGGGGGCAAACAGG